UACGGAGGGGGCCAGCGUUGCUCGGAAUUACUGGGCGUAAAGGGCUCGUAGGCGGUUUGAUAAGUCCUGUGUGAAAUCCCUUGGCUUAACCAAGGAACUGCGCCGGAUACUGUCGAACUUGAGGCCGGGAGAGGGAAGCGGAAUUCCCAGUGUAGCGGUGAAAUGCGUAGAUAUUGGGAGGAACAUCGGUGGCGAAGGCGGCUUCCUGGACCGGUUCUGACGCUGAAGAGCGAAAGCUAGGGUAGCAAACAGG
Molecule: ribosomal RNA, 253 nt
Filed under: uncultured bacterium
Lineage: Bacteria
Description: partial 16S ribosomal RNA
Rfam family: Bacterial small subunit ribosomal RNA
Source: RNAcentral